GAGUUUGAUCGUGGCUCAGAUUGAACGCUGGCGGCAGGCCUAACACAUGCAAGUCGAACGGUAACAGGAAACAGCUUGCUGUUUCGCCGACGAGUGGCGGACGGGUGAGUAAUGUCUGGGAAACUGCCUGAUGGAGGGGGAUAACUACUGGAAACGGUAGCUAAUACCGCAUAACGUCGCAAGACCAAAGAGGGGGACCUUCGGGCCUCUUGCCAUCGGAUGUGCCCAGAUGGGAUUAGCUAGUAGGUGGGGUAACGGCUCACCUAGGCGACGAUCCCUAGCUGGUCUGAGAGGAUGACCAGCCACACUGGAACUGAGACACGGUCCAGACUCCUACGGGAGGCAGCAGUGGGGAAUAUUGCACAAUGGGCGCAAGCCUGAUGCGGCCAUGCCGCGUGUAUGAAGAAGCCUCGGUGUAAGUAUU
Molecule: ribosomal RNA, 424 nt
Filed under: uncultured microorganism
Description: bacterial SSU rRNA
Rfam family: Bacterial small subunit ribosomal RNA
Source: RNAcentral